This 429-nucleotide ribosomal RNA is filed under the name Chloroflexota bacterium. RNAcentral describes it as "Chloroflexi bacterium partial 16S ribosomal RNA". It matches the Rfam family "Bacterial small subunit ribosomal RNA", at positions 355 to 776 of the family's 1533-position model. The record is from RNAcentral. Lineage: Bacteria; Bacillati; Chloroflexota.
UGGGGAAUAUUGCACAAUGGGCGCAAGCCUGAUGCAGCCAUGCCGCGUGUAUGAAGAAGGCCUUCGGGUUGUAAAGUACUUUCAGUCGGGAGGAGGGUGUCAAGGUUAAUAACCUUGGCAAUUGACGUUACCGACAGAAGAAGCACCGGCUAACUCCGUGCCAGCAGCCGCGGUAAUACGGAGGGUGCAAGCGUUAAUCGGAAUUACUGGGCGUAAAGCGCACGCAGGCGGUUGAUUGAGUCAGAUGUGAAAUCCCCGGGCUUAACCCGGGAAUUGCAUCUGAUACUGGUCAGCUAGAGUCUUGUAGAGGGGGGUAGAAUUCCAUGUGUAGCGGUGAAAUGCGUAGAGAUGUGGAGGAAUACCGGUGGCGAAGGCGGCCCCCUGGACAAAGACUGACGCUCAGGUGCGAAAGCGUGGGGAGCAAACAGG